GACAGAGGCCUCAAGCGUUAGGCGGAAUCACUGGGCUUAAAGCGUGUGUAGGCGGAUCGUUAAGUGUCUUGUGAAAUCCCACGGCUCACCCGUGGAACUGCUGGGCAUACUGGCGAUCUUGGGCCAACUAGGGGCAGCCGGAACAAGCGGUGGAGCGGUGAAAUGCGUAGAUAUCGCUUGGAACGCCGAAGGUGAAAACAGGCUGCUGGGGUUGCGCCGACGCUGGGACACGAAAGCCAGGGGAGCAAACGGG
RNAcentral lists this ribosomal RNA (253 nucleotides) under uncultured bacterium. Its description in RNAcentral is "partial 16S ribosomal RNA". It matches the Rfam family "Bacterial small subunit ribosomal RNA", at positions 524 to 776 of the family's 1533-position model. The record is from RNAcentral.